GACGAACGCUGGCGGCGUGCUUAACACAUGCAAGUCGAGCGGUAAGGCCCUUUCGGGGGUACACGAGCGGCGAACGGGUGAGUAACACGUGGGUGACCUGCCCUUAGCUCUGGGAUAAGCCUGGGAAACUGGGUCUAAUACCGGAUAUGACUCCAUGACGCAUGUUGUGGGGUGGAAAGCCUUGUGCGGCUAGGGAUGGGCCCGCGGCCUAUCAGCCUGUUGGUGGGGUGAUGGCCACCAAGGCGACGACGGGUAGCCGGCCUGAGAGGGCGACCGGCCACACUGGGACUGAGACACGGCCCAGACUCCUACGGGAGGCAGCAGUGGGGAAUCUUGCGCAAUGGCGAAAGCUGACGCAGCGACGCCGCGUGGGGAUGACGGCCU
Molecule: ribosomal RNA, 384 nt
Filed under: uncultured bacterium
Lineage: Bacteria
Description: bacterial SSU rRNA
Rfam family: Bacterial small subunit ribosomal RNA
Source: RNAcentral